Molecule: small nuclear RNA, 21 nt
Filed under: Arabidopsis thaliana (thale cress)
Lineage: Eukaryota; Viridiplantae; Streptophyta; Magnoliopsida; Brassicales; Brassicaceae
Description: snRNA_17059
Source: RNAcentral
GCGAACAAGUACCGCGAGGUA